Aspergillus awamori is the source of this 73-nucleotide non-coding RNA. Lineage: Eukaryota; Fungi; Ascomycota; Eurotiomycetes; Eurotiales; Aspergillaceae. The record is from the annotation of a GenBank genome assembly.
AGCCCAACGCGGGGCUCGAACCCGCAGCCUUGAGAUUAAGAGUCUCACGCUCUACCGAUUGAGCUAGCCGGGC